CUCACAGUGUAUGCCUCAGUAAGAAAGGGGAGGUUCAGAGAGGAUAAGUAACUUCUCUAAGGUUACACAGCUAGACACUAGAGCCAGGCUUUCAGUUACUUGUCCGUCUGACUCCAGAACCUUUCGUUGUGGUUUGUGUUUUAUUUUGGCUACGGCUCCUAGAGCUCUCUGUGGCAUGUUUUUUAGAUCGAGGGGCCACGUGCUAGUGUGAAGUAUACAUCUCGACAACUCUUUGCAUGUGUGCACGCCCAUGUAACCACCACCCAGAGUAAGAUACAUUUCCAGAAGAUUCCUCAUGCCCCUUCCAGGUACUCGCUAUUCUGACCUCUAUCAGCAUUGAUUAGUUUUUCCUGGGAGGAGCGGCGUGGAACCACUUCUCUCGCUGAGGCAAGAAGGAAGACAGGAGGAUUUCCGUGUGGGGAGGAGCUGCUCACGGCAACAUCGGAGGGGGAGCCUCCACAGGCAGUGGGGAGGGAGCGUUCAUAUGGCGCACGGUCCCACCGGGUCUCCGCACGCUACCGUGAGGUAGGCAGCGAAGCGAGGAGAGUUUGAAUCGGAUGCAGAAAGCCAUGUGCCCAAAGCGACACGGCAAGUUAGUGGUGGAUCCGGAGGCCUGGAGUCUCCUGGCGUCUUGAACUUCUUACAGAAGCCUGACAUAUACACAAAACUGAGAGUUUAGCUGGUGAAUUUUCACAAAGUAAUCAGACUCCUGAAGCCAGUGCCGGAUCAACAGGACACUGCCAGCCCCUCAGAAGCCCCUUCACAGCCCCCAAAGAGGAGCCAUCACCCUGACUUCUAACAUCACAGGUUAGCUUUGCCUCUUUUGAACUUUGUGCAAGUGGACUCACAGCACACGUGUUGCUCUGUGCGUGAGCUCCAUCCACACUGUGCGUGCGCUUGUUCAUUCAUUCUUACUGUGGUGUUCCGUGUGAAUAUACCAAAAUCUAUUUCGCCGUUCCGCUGCUGAUGGGCAUUUGGGCAGUUCCCAGUCUGGAGGCAUUUCAAAUAGUGCUGCUAUGGAAAUUACUAGUAUAGUGCUGUCCAGUAAAAUCUACUACAGGGUAUACUCAAGAACUGAAAGCAGGGACUCGAACAGAUAUUUGUACAUAAGCGUUCAUUGCAGCAUUUACAACAGCCGAAAUGUAGAAACAACCCAAAUGUCCAUCAGCUGAUGAAUAGAUGUGUACAUAAACACGAUGGACUGUUGCUCAGCCUUAAAAAGGAAGGACACUUGGACACCGUGUGAGCCGUGAAGACGUUAUGCUAGGUGAAAUGAGCCAGACUCAAAAGAACAAACACUGUAGGAUUCCCUUAUAUGAAGGAGAGACUAGAGCAGUCAAAUUUUGAGAGGCAGGGACUAGAAUGGUAGUUUCCAGGGCCUGGGAAGAGGGAACGGGGAGCUGUUGUUUAACGGGACAGAGUUUCUAUACAGGAAGAUGAAAAAGUUCCGGAUGUGGCUGGUGGUCACGUGUUCACAGCAACGUGAUCAUUCUUGGUGCCACUAAGCUGUACAGAUAGAAAUGGCCUCGAUAAUGAAUUUGA
Acinonyx jubatus (cheetah) is the source of this 1542-nucleotide long non-coding RNA. RefSeq lists it as uncharacterized. The transcript has 3 exons. The record is from RefSeq and is a predicted model, not a curated record. NCBI's taxonomy places the organism in Eukaryota, Metazoa, Chordata, Mammalia, Carnivora, Felidae.